Non-coding RNA from Spinacia oleracea (spinach), 95 nucleotides. The record is from Rfam. NCBI's taxonomy places the organism in Eukaryota, Viridiplantae, Streptophyta, Magnoliopsida, Caryophyllales, Amaranthaceae.
GGGCGAUGACGAAGAUAUAUUGGUCUCGUUCGUCAUAAGAGCGAUUCAAUUCGCCUUGAUGACCAUUCUUAUAUCACCACCCAUAAGCCGAGUCC